RNAcentral lists this ribosomal RNA (793 nucleotides) under Rhacophorus rhodopus. RNAcentral's name for it is "partial small subunit ribosomal RNA". It matches the Rfam family "Bacterial large subunit ribosomal RNA", at positions 1249 to 2567 of the family's 2925-position model. Lineage: Eukaryota; Metazoa; Chordata; Amphibia; Anura; Rhacophoridae. The record is from RNAcentral.
UAUGAACCCCCACCCGACACUGAACGACCCCAUAAAUAUAUGGGAAACAUUAUGCUGGAACUAGUAACAAGAAUUUAACAUUCUCCACAAUGCAAGCAUAAGCCAGAACAGAUAAACUGCUGGUUAUUAACGAAAAUGAACAAGCUACAGCAACACAACAAGAAAACCCUGUUUAUAUCUCUCGUUAACCUAACACUAGAGCAUUUUAGGAAAGAUUAAAAGAGAAAGAAGGAACUCGGCAAAUUUUAACCCCGCCUGUUUACCAAAAACAUCGCCUCUUGACGAGCUAUAAGAGGUCUAGCCUGCCCAGUGAUAAAUUUAACGGCCGCGGUAUCCUAACCGUGCGAAGGUAGCAUAAUCACUUGUUCUUUAAAUAGGGACUCGUAUCAACGGCAUCACGAGGGUUACACUGUCUCCUUCCUCCAAUCAGUGAAACUGAUCUCCCCGUGAAGAAGCGGGGAUGAACUAAUAAGACGAGAAGACCCCAUGGAGCUUUAAACCUCACAGCAACUCUAAUAUUUAAUUCCUCAUAAUUUACAGGGCAGUGCACGUCGGUUUUAGGUUGGGGCGACCGCGGAGUAAAAAUUACCCUCCACGACGAAAAGAACUAAAUCUUUAUUUAAGAGCAACUACUCUAAAAAUUAGCACACUAACGAACAAUGAUCCGAUUAUCGAUCAACGGACCAAGUUACCCUGGGGAUAACAGCGCAAUCUACUUCAAGAGCCCAUAUCAACAAGUAGGCUUACGACCUCGAUGUUGGAUCAGGGUAUCCCGGUGGUGCAGCCGCUACUA